Molecule: ribosomal RNA, 824 nt
Filed under: Bacillus sp. XYY-2015
Lineage: Bacteria; Bacillati; Bacillota; Bacilli; Caryophanales; Bacillaceae
Description: partial 16S ribosomal RNA
Rfam family: Bacterial small subunit ribosomal RNA
Source: RNAcentral
CGGAGGGAUGAUUACCACGNUGGGUAACCUGCCCCUACGACUGGGAUGACUCCGGGAAAUGAGGGCUAAUAACGGAUAAUUUUUUGAACUGCAUGGAUCCCAAUUGAGAGGCGGCUUCUGCUGUCACUUAUGGAUGGACCCGCGACGCAUUAUCUAUGGGGUGAGGUAACGGCUCACCAAGGCAACAAUGCGACNCCGACCUGACNNGGUGAUCGGCCACACUGGGACUGAUACACAGCCCNNACUCCUACGGGAGGCAGCANGCCGGAAUCUUCCACAAUGGACUAAAGUCUGACGGAUCUUUCCNCGUGANUGANGAAGGCUUUCCGGUCGUAAAACUCUGUUGUUAGGGAAGAACAAGUGCUAGUUGAAUAACNUGGCACCUUGACGGUACCUAAACUUAAAGCCACGGAUAACUACGUGCCAGCAUCCGCGGUAAUAANNAGGUGGCCAGCNUUAUCCNGAAUUAUUGGNCUUANAGANCGCGCAGGUGGUUUCUUAAGUCUGAUAUGGGAAACUGAGAAACUUGAGUGCAGAAGAGGAAACUGUAAUUCCAUGUGUACCGGUGAAAUGCGUAGAUAUGGACGAACACCAUUGGAUAACGCGACUUUCUGGUCUGUAACUGACACUGACGAGCGAAAGCGUGGGGAGCAAACAGGAUUAGAUUAGAUACCCUGGUACUCCACGCGGUAAACGAUGAUGUCUAAGUGUUAGAGGGUUUCCGCCCUUUACUCCUGGUAGUCCACGCCGUAAACGAUGAGUGCUAAGUGUUAGAGGGUUUCCGCCCUUUAGUGCUGAAGUUAACGCAUUAACCACUCAGCCGC